This 366-nucleotide long non-coding RNA is filed under the name Zea mays. RNAcentral's name for it is "long non-coding RNA (ZMAY_LNC004631)". Lineage: Eukaryota; Viridiplantae; Streptophyta; Magnoliopsida; Poales; Poaceae. The record is from RNAcentral.
CACUCCUGUUCUCUUUCCCUUGCUUGCUUUGCUUGUAUUUUUUCCCAUUCUCUGCUAGCUGUUAUGAGUGGCUUUUCAUCUUCUGAUGGUUUAGCAAUCUUACUGAGUGCGCCACUCGCUCCAGGACGCCCUGUUAUCCGUUCUCAGAAUGGUUCUGCGCCCAUCGCCUGCAGAAAAAACACCCGAUUUGAAGCAUCUACAGGAUCAAGUUAUGCGAGGUGUUUGCUAUGAGAAUGCUAUGGUAUUUACAUGUUCACCACAAGACAGUAUGGGGUACAAAUGUUUGAAGUGACAACUGUGACUUAAUUGUUCUUUCCAGCUUUGGGAUGUUAGGAGUAUGCAUUCUCAAAUUGUUGGACCAGUAAC